This 21-nucleotide unclassified non-coding RNA is filed under the name Mus musculus (house mouse). RNAcentral describes it as "oocyte_clustered_small_RNA4758". The record is from RNAcentral. Lineage: Eukaryota; Metazoa; Chordata; Mammalia; Rodentia; Muridae.
CAGGCCACGUCAUCUCACCAG